Cyprinus carpio (common carp) is the source of this 207-nucleotide long non-coding RNA. NCBI's taxonomy places the organism in Eukaryota, Metazoa, Chordata, Actinopteri, Cypriniformes, Cyprinidae. The record is from Ensembl.
GUCUCCUCCAGGCCCUGAGAGUCACCCAGCAUCUCACACACGGCAAAUGUUCUCUGCUCUUCAGUAUGAUUGACAGUUUGUGGCGUCCUUCGGUUGAUCCAAAAUCUCAUGACGAUCUGCUGCAGUCUCCCAGCAAGAUUCCUCCUGGAUAGCGGCAGUCUGAUGUCAAAACAACCGCCAUGCUGCAUCCUUAACCAAAUAACAUAA